Molecule: long non-coding RNA, 358 nt
Filed under: Cervus hanglu yarkandensis (Yarkand deer)
Lineage: Eukaryota; Metazoa; Chordata; Mammalia; Artiodactyla; Cervidae
Description: lncRNA (ENSCHYG00000017770.1)
Source: RNAcentral
GCAGAGCCUGUGGGCAGAGUCCCUGGGACCCACGGUGGCCCUGGGGUGUGUGGGGCGCGCUGAGCAGUCCUGACGCCUCCUAAACGGUCUCUUCCAGGGUCGAGGGGCCAGCGGUGACCUUCAGGGUGCGCGCCAAUGCCCAGAAUGUGACGGCGGCAGCCGCGGCGAAGGCGGCAGGAUUGCUUUCUUGCAGCAGUGAUGCUGGUUUUCAUGAAUAGUGGACUUUGCUCAGGAGGGAAGCUGGCUUGCAACACGUAGAAGACAUACUUGCUGUGUCCCACACAGAAGGAAUGAUUAAAAAGAGCAGAAGAAGGAUGGAGACUUCGAGACCACAAUGAUGGCUCUGACGGUGAUUGAG